This is a long non-coding RNA of Pyrus x bretschneideri (Chinese white pear), 1228 nucleotides long. RefSeq lists it as uncharacterized. Lineage: Eukaryota; Viridiplantae; Streptophyta; Magnoliopsida; Rosales; Rosaceae. The record is from RefSeq and is a predicted model, not a curated record. The transcript is spliced from 2 exons.
UCUUCUCACCUUCAGCAGACAGUUAUUCCCGAAGACUUUUUCAAAAGCCGAACUGUGAAAAGCAAAAGCUGCCAUCCAAAAUCGCUUUUCUCCACGACACUUUUUUCUCUCCCUCCCUCUCCCUCUCCCUCUAAAUUAUUUUGAGACCAAAUCAUAGUAUUUCGUUCUCAUGCUUCAAGCUGCAGACAAUAAUUGUUGUUCUUGUACCCAUGGAUUAUCCAACACCAAAAUGAAAAUAAUUUUCUAGACAAAAUUCUGGGAAUUAUAAUCAUUAUUCUUAGGUCAUCAAUCUCUCUUUAGAGGAGAACCAUGACAACAUAAAAAAUUAAGAGUUCUCUAACUCUCUCCCUCGUGAGAGUCUUUCUCCUGUGAGAGUUUUUUUUUUCUUUUUUUUUUUUUCCAAGUUUAGUUUCCCCUGCAUUUUUUUCGUUCAUCGUCUCCGAUCUGUGCCUUAACCUCCAAAAUCCUCAGCCAUCAAUUCCAUUCUCCCUUCCCCAUUUUUCCCACCCUCCACCUCCAUGGAUUUCCUCAAAACCUUAUGAUUUCGGAUAUGUUGCCACUUUCCAUGAACGCGUUUUGACGCGGGAAGUAUGUAGAGUUUUGGUGCGGGUGUUCACACCACCACCUCUCAUGGAUUUGCUUCGACGGCCUUGUUGCCUUCGAUGGCUUUGUUGCUGAUGGGUGUACAAUUUGUGGUCGAAGCAAAAUUCCAGUUCGACCCUUCAUGCAAAGUCGCUAAGGAUUGCAACAAGUUGGGUUAUCACUGCAAAUGCAUCGAGGAGACUUGCCACUGUUCAGCAGAAUUUAAGACGAAGUGAAUUUCUGAGAAGGAAACCCUUAACUGAGAGUUCACUGAUGUUCUUCGAAUAAUUGUGCUACUAAAGUGUAAGGGUUGUAAUUCGAUAAACAUAUGUAUAAAUUGACAUCUUUUCCUUAUCCUAGAAAACAUAUAAAUAAUAAUUAAUCAUUCAACUUGUGACGUUUAAGUGCAAUAGUUGGUAACAACAGUAUAACAUUUAGCAAAUUUCACAUUCAAAAUAGAUGAUCGAUAUUUCUCAAUUUGUAGCAAAAUUAUUCAACUUGCGAUUCCAACUUGGGUAAAGAUUCAAACUUUGAAAACAAAUUGCUGAAUUUCCGCUUGCGAUUCCAAAAUUCAUUCAUCCCCAAAAUUGUCAAAUUGUAUACAGCCGGAGGGCUCUAAAGCUGAUUGUGACAAGCAUUGAAUUUU